Molecule: transfer RNA, 69 nt
Filed under: archaeon CG07_land_8_20_14_0_80_38_8
Lineage: Archaea
Description: tRNA-Met
Rfam family: tRNA
About the family: Transfer RNA (tRNA) molecules are approximately 80 nucleotides in length. Their secondary structure includes four short double-helical elements and three loops (D, anti-codon, and T loops).
Source: RNAcentral
CGGUGUAGCUCAGCCUGGUGGAGCGCUACGCUCAUAACGUAGAGGCCGCGAGUCCAAAUCUCGCCACCG